GAAGAAUCUGUUCCCUUCGUGGACAGUAACAGAAAGAGAGGUGGUGGCCAGCUCAUAUACAAGGAGGAUUGGUUCAGCAUGGAGUCCCCUUAUUUUCUGCCUCUGCUUGCAUCUCUACAGAUAUUUUUCCUGCGUGGGUCACCUGCAGACCUCCCUGCACCCCCCAACAUCUUUGUGAGCCCAGAGAAAAUGGAGUAUCUCAUUGGAGACACUGUCUCCUUCCGAUGUGUGGCUCCCCCUUCAAAGGACAAGAUACAGGGCUUUCAGUUCUCAGGAACAACUGGAUGGGCCGUGGACAUUCGGACCUUCAGGAAAGCCUACACCUACACCUUCAACAUCACAGGACCGAAGGACGGUGGGUCACAUACAUGCAGAUACACUAUAAUAGAUCGGCUCCUUAGACCAGUCCGGUCUAAGGAAAGCAAAGUGAUCAUCAUCAGUGUCAAAGACCCUCCACCCCAUCCCACACUUUCUUUGAACACUUCCAGUGGAGUUGUGAGUGAGGGCUACCCCCUCCUCUUCAUCUGCACGGCUCCUGGAAACACAGUGGAGCAUAGGUUUCACUUCUACAAAGAAGGAGCUGAGGUCAUCCCUGGAUCUGAGGUCAACUCAUCAGAGACGAGUGCUCAACUCUGCAUCCCACAGAGCAGUCAAAAUCACACGGGGAAUUUUACUUGUGCCUAUGAGGAGAAAGUGGAGGGACGGUGGAUCCUGUCCUUUGCGAGCAGUGUUGUGACUGUCUUUGUGAAAGAGCCUCCUUUUGCUCCUGAACUGGGAGUGGAUCCUUCCUCUGCUGUGGUGACUGAAGGCUACCCCUUACGUUUCACCUGCAUUGCCUUCACGGAUGACUCAAGGCUGAGAUUUCACUUCUACAGGGAUGGGGUUGAGAUCCCACCAGGACAGGCAGGCUCAGAGACCACUGCCAUGAACCCUGGGAAUUUCACUGAGCUCCUGUUCCCGCAUACUCCAAGGAGGUUCAGUGGGAAAUUCACUUGUGGAUUUGAGGAGGAUGUGGGCGGGACGUGGGUGCUAUCACCCCAGAGUAAGGUUCUGGAGGUCACUGUGAAAGAUACCCCUGCUCAGCCAGAUCUGAUCUUGAACCCCCCAUCUGGAGAAGUGAGGGAAGGGGAGCCCUUACUUAUCACUUGUGUAGCCUACGGCACUAGUGGCGAAUGGAAGUUUUACUUCUAUAAAGACGGGACUGAACAAUUCUCAGAGGCUUGCACAAGGAACCGCUCUUUCUUCAGCAUCCCAGCAGCUGAACCAACUGUGACAGGGCAAUUCACCUGCAGGUACGAGGAGAGAGUCAGUGGCAAGUGGAUCCCAUCACCCUUGAGCCAGGCAAUGAUGGUCACCAUGCAAGCUUCGUCUCUACACAUCCCAUUGGUGACUGGAUGUGCAGCUGCUGCAGCUGCUCUGGUCCUGGUGUUGCUGCUGGCUGCCUAUAUCUGCCAGAGGAGGAGAGGCCAUGUUCACUGGAAGGGGCUCCACAACAAAGAUGACACAAGCGCUUAUCCUCUGGCCCUGGUCAGUUAAACUGGUAUUUCAUCUCAGGACUGCUUGGCCCAUGUCUUUGCUCAAAAAAUGCACUCAUUUUCAGCCUUUUCUCCACCUCAGUGAACCAAAAAGGAAGACAACAAAAGUAAAGAAAAGGAUUGUUUCUAUUCUUCUUCGCUUUGAACGUUCAAGCCAGAGUUCACUUUGUUAAUGCCCCUGUCCAGCUGGUCAGUAAAUCUCUCUUCAAGUCCACCAAUGUUUCUUUCUCUCAUUCUCUUCCGUCAUCUUUCUGAGCCUGAUAGAAAUGGGGAAGUUGGUCCCAGGGCACACAAAAAGGUUGGUCUUG
Molecule: long non-coding RNA, 1843 nt
Filed under: Apteryx owenii (little spotted kiwi)
Lineage: Eukaryota; Metazoa; Chordata; Aves; Apterygiformes; Apterygidae
Description: lncRNA (ENSAOWG00000001981.1)
Source: RNAcentral